RNAcentral lists this small RNA (1580 nucleotides) under Galendromus occidentalis (western predatory mite). Its description in RNAcentral is "uncharacterized LOC100906442". The record is from RNAcentral. Lineage: Eukaryota; Metazoa; Arthropoda; Arachnida; Mesostigmata; Phytoseiidae.
GUCUCGGAGGCGCGCACUCGUGAGUAGACUCGUGCAGAAAUUUCUUCUCAGGGUUGAGCUAGGAGCUUGUUCCUGAUCGAAGAAUGGAACAUCCGGUUUUCGAGAGAAUCGGCCGAUUGGCUCGACAGCUACGUGACAACCAGACCAAAGAGAAGUUCGAACUCUGCGAUUCAAUUGCUGCACUCUUGCGCAACAUAGCGGCGGUGAGAAUUUCCACAGUUUCCAUGGUCCCUUCCCUCGAAGAGUGGAACUAACAUGCGUGGCAUUUCCGACACAGCCUGAGAGAUAUCUUCCAAUCGCAACUGUCCAUCGACUUCCGCCGGAGCGCCCUUAAUUUGAGCGCAGCUCUAUUUGAAUGUUUCGGCGACUCGUGGUUGGAUAGCAGCCCGGACUCGCACAUCCUGCUAACGCUCAUGACCCAAAUAGCCUGCAUCGAACUCCGGGUCUCUCUGAGCAGAAAAACAUCCUUCAAGGAGCUUGAGGAUUUCGCGCCUCCUCAGAGUCUCUGCUGCUGUUUGAGGAUAUUGCAUGGCUCCGUCCACCGGCUCACGAACGAUCCGGGAGACACGAAGUGGGAACCCCAGCAAAUACUGUCUCUGCAGAAAUGCUACACCCAAACUGCUCAGGCGGUUGCGACGUUCAUCGAUUUGCUUCUAUCCGAAGAAGAUUUCGAGUCAAACCUCGAGCUCCGCCGCUUCCUACAUUCCGCCGUUGAAGCCUUGACCUUCUGGAACCUGAAUGACAUGGACAGCAUCGAGGACGUCAUGCAGCCGCUCCUGGCCAGACUCUCUCGAUUUUGUCAUCGGAUGAAGUGGUCUGAAGCUUGCCUGAAUAUCGUUGCGCGUCUCGACCACGAGCCGGACAUCAACAGCUCCGCUUUGGUCAGCCAAGUCUGGGAUGGCAAUGAUGAUUUCAUUUACUUCACCGUCCACGUGUUUACGUCCCAAAUCGGCCAGCUCAAGGCUGACCAUGACCGUCGGUUAGUCAAUGUAGCGCGCUUCCUUUUCGAAGACUUCGAUUCGCUAACAUUCCCCGAUACGGAGGAGCACUUAUACACUUGUGCCAAAUGUCUGGCUGAGUGGAUGGCGGACAAGAGACAAUUCGGCACCUUCGAAGCUCAGUCUCUUCUGACCGUCGCCUGCCUUGUAAUGAAACUCUGCCAGGUGAACGUGGAAGACAGCGAUCGCUUCACGAUGGCGGUUGUUUGUUCGGUCCAGGUCCUGUGGACCUUCUGCGGUUUCAACAAGAACAACAAGGCCAACACCUUCAGGAUACCCACAAUUUACAAGAAAAUGGAAGAUGAGCUGCCGAGUUUCAUUGACAUGUGGUGCGAUUCUGUGCAAGUGCUCGCGCAGCUGGUCCGCAAGAAAGAGAGCGUCGCGAGAUUCCUGCUCAAACACAAACUCCCUCAUCGAGCGCAAACAGUGCCUUUGAUGGGAACAAUGGAGAUGCCUGAUCCGAUGGAGACAGCCCUACAAGAGUUCCAACAAGCCAUCGCGGCGACCUGCCCCGACAUGAAGGAGGAACUCGAGUCGUUGCAGGAAGACCUUCUUAUGGGCACCGAUUACAAGAAUAUGUAA